CCUACGGGUGGCAGCAGUGAGGAAUAUUGGUCAAUGGGAGAGAUCCUGAACCAGCCAAGCCGCGUGAGGGAAGACGGCCCUAUGGGUUGUAAACCUCUUUUGUCGGAGAACAAAACCCGGGACGUGUCCCGUACUGCGUGUAUCCGAAGAAAAAGCAUCGGCUAACUCCGUGCCAGCAGCCGCGGUAAUACGGAGGAGGCGAGCGUUAUCCGGAUUUAUUGGGUUUAAAGGGUGCGUAGGCGGUCCGUUAAGUCCGCGGUAAAAUGUAGGGGCUUAACCGCGUCGAGCCGUUGAGACUGGCAGACCUGAGUUGGCGAGAGGUACGCGGAAUGCGCGGUGUAGCGGUGAAAUGCAUAGAUAUCGCGCAGAACUCCGAUUGCGAAGGCAGCGUACCGGCGCCAGACUGACGCUGAGGCACGAAAGCGUGGGGAUCGAACAGGAUUAGAUACCCGAGUAGUC
This 459-nucleotide ribosomal RNA is filed under the name uncultured bacterium. RNAcentral describes it as "partial 16S ribosomal RNA". It matches the Rfam family "Bacterial small subunit ribosomal RNA", at positions 338 to 795 of the family's 1533-position model. The record is from RNAcentral.